AUUGAACGCUGGCGGCAGGCCUAACACAUGCAAGUCGAACGGUAGCACAGAGAGCUUGCUCUCGGGUGACGAGUGGCGGACGGGUGAGUAACGUCUGGGAAACUGCCCGAUGGAGGGGGAUAACUACUGGAAACGGUAGCUAAUACCGCAUAACGUCGCAAGACCAAAGUGGGGGACCUUCGGGCCUCACACCAUCGGAUGUGCCCAGAUGGGAUUAGCUAGUAGGUGGGGUAAUGGCUCACCUAGGCGACGAUCCCUAGCUGGUCUGCGAGGAUGACCGGCCGCACUGGAACUGAGACACGGGCCAGACUCCUACGGGAGGCAGCAGUGGGGAAUAUUGCACAAUGGGCGCAAGCCUGAUGCAGCCAUGCCGCGUGUAUGAAGAAGGCCUUCGGGUUGUAAAGUACUUUCAGCGGGGAGGAAGGCGGUGAAGUUAAUAGCUUCACCGAUUGACGUUACCCGCAGAAGAAGCACCGGCUAACUCCGUGCCAGCCGCCGCCGUAA
This 504-nucleotide ribosomal RNA is filed under the name uncultured bacterium. RNAcentral's name for it is "partial 16S ribosomal RNA". It matches the Rfam family "Bacterial small subunit ribosomal RNA", at positions 29 to 523 of the family's 1533-position model. The record is from RNAcentral.